RNAcentral lists this ribosomal RNA (481 nucleotides) under uncultured bacterium. Its description in RNAcentral is "bacterial SSU rRNA". It matches the Rfam family "Bacterial small subunit ribosomal RNA", at positions 30 to 507 of the family's 1533-position model. The record is from RNAcentral.
AUUGAACGCUGGCGGCAUGCCUUACACAUGCAAGUCGAACGGCAGCGGACCUUCGGGUGCCGGCGAGUGGCGAACGGUGAGUAAUAUAUCGGAACGUACCUUUCAGUGGGGGAUUACGUAGCGAAAGUUACGCUAAUACCGCAUAUUCUGUGAGCAGGAAAGCAGGGGAUCGCAAGACCUUGCGCUGAUUGAGCGGCCGAUAUCAGAUUAGCUAGUUGGUGAGGUAAAGGCUCACCAAGGCGACGAUCUGUAGCGGGUCUGAGAGGAUGAUCCGCCACACUGGAACUGAGACACGGUCCAGACUCCUACGGGAGGCAGCAGUGGGGAAUUUUGGACAAUGGGCGCAAGCCUGAUCCAGCCAUGCCGCGUGAGUGAAGAAGGCCUUCGGGUUGUAAAGCUCUUUCGGCCGGGAAGAAAUCGCACAGGUUAAUACCCUGUGUGGAUGACGGUACCGGAAUAAGAAGCACCGGCUAACUACGUG